This is a long non-coding RNA of Eriocheir sinensis (Chinese mitten crab), 835 nucleotides long. RefSeq lists it as uncharacterized. The record is from RefSeq and is a predicted model, not a curated record. Lineage: Eukaryota; Metazoa; Arthropoda; Malacostraca; Decapoda; Varunidae. The transcript has 7 exons.
ACUUUCUCUUGAAGGUCUCCGUGCCGCAGUUAGAAGUAUCGAUGUCCCUCGGCAGGCAGUUGAAGAGUUUUGUGGUCCCUCGCUGGUAAAGCUGGCAGCGUGUAUGGAGUAUGGAUCUCAGAUACGUUGACUGACUGCAGGGAAACUGUUGGCUGAGCGGGAGGAGGAGAGUUAGAGGAAGAGGAGGAGGAGGAGGAGGAAGAAGAAGCGGAGAAAAAAAAAACGAGGAAGCAGAGGAGCGUGUUGUGGUGUCCCGUCACUGGCCACCCUGCCCUGCCCUGCCCUGCCCUGGCUCUACUCUUUCUGGCCCCGCCCUGCCCCGUGUGUGCUACCACCAUCCACGCAACCAGCAAGGAGGCAAAUGGAGCAGUUCCGGAGCAUGGUGGAGGCGGUGGCGGCGGCGGCGUAGGUGACAGGGGUGGUCUGAUGCGGCGCCCAUACCUUGCUUGUAUACAGUUAGUCCUUUUGCUGUCUGGUGGCCCGAAGAUCUCUACUACGCUUAUAAAGAGGACAUCAGUGUGCCCGAGGGGAAGACCGCCGCCCACCUGCACCAAGGCGAGACACUUCCCGGAACAAUCGGCCCACGCUCCCGACCCUGCUGCCCCGCCGAGUGAGGGUGAGGAGACGAGCCGAUUAACCGAAGUGUGAUAUUCAGAAGCGUUGUGAGAGCGCUUCCCAACAACGUGCGGCGUCCCCCAAGGCACCUUCCUCCUGUUUGGGCUGCAACGCCUCAGUGAAACGGUUUGCGCGGCGCGGCGGCUGUCACCGGCGGGAGAAAGGCCCAGAUUGAGAGUCUCCUGACACGCACGACACACUGCCAGGUCUUGGAAUAAGG